AGGGAACGCUGGCGGUAGGCCUAACACAUGCAAGUCGAACGGCAGCACAGUAAGAGCUUGCUCUUACGGGUGGCGAGUGGCGGACUGGUGAGGAAUACAUCGGAAUCUACUUUUUCGUGGGGGAUAACGUAGGGAAACUUACGCUAAUACCGCAUACGACCUACGGGUGAAAGCAGGGGAUCUUCGGACCUUGCGCGAUUGAAUGAGCCGAUGUCGGGUUAGCUAGUUGGCGGGGUAAAGGCCCACCAAGGCGACGAUCCGUAGCUGGUCUGAGAGGAUGAUCAGCCACACUGGAACUGAGACACGGUCCAGACUCCUACGGGAGGCAGCAGUGGGGAAUAUUGGACAAUGGGCGCAAGCCUGAUCCAGCCAUACCGCGUGGGUGAAGAAGGCCUUCGGGUUGUAAAGCCCUUUUGUUGGGAAAGAAAAGAAGCAGGUUAAUACCACGCUGUUCUGACGGUACCCAAAGAAUAAGCACCGGCUAACUUCGUG
This 492-nucleotide ribosomal RNA is filed under the name uncultured bacterium. RNAcentral's name for it is "partial 16S ribosomal RNA". It matches the Rfam family "Bacterial small subunit ribosomal RNA", at positions 31 to 507 of the family's 1533-position model. The record is from RNAcentral.